CAACCUUCCUUUAACUGGAAGAUAGCCCUCCGAAAGGUGGAUUAAUACUCCAUAACAUAUUGAAGAGGCAUCUCUUUGAUAUUAAAGCUCCGGCGGUUAAAGAUGGGCGUGCGUCUGAUUAGGUAGUUGGCGGGGUAACGGCCCACCAAGCCUUCGAUCAGUAGCUGAUGUGAGAGCAUGAUCAGCCACACGGGCACUGAGACACGGGCCCGACUCCUACGGGAGGCAGCAGUAAGGAAUAUUGGUCAAUGGACGCAAGUCUGAACCAGCCAUGCCGCGUGGAGGAUGAAGGCCCUCUGGGUUGUAAACUUCUUUCUUUGGGACGAAACCCCUGUUUCUACGGGGACUGACGGUACCAGAGGAAUAAGCACCGGCUAACUCCGUG
This 385-nucleotide ribosomal RNA is filed under the name uncultured bacterium. Its description in RNAcentral is "bacterial SSU rRNA". It matches the Rfam family "Bacterial small subunit ribosomal RNA", at positions 122 to 507 of the family's 1533-position model. The record is from RNAcentral.